AUGUACUGUAAAGUUCCAAGCGCAAAAGAGGCAAUAAAUGAAAGAACAAUAACAAUAACGUUUAGAAAACAAUUGGAAGAAUAUACGACAAUAUCACCGUAUUGUUGGGAAAAAUUGUGGAAAAUGUAUGACUUGGAAUUGUAAUAGAUUAAGUAAUUAUAAGUUUGUAAAAUGUUAUAAUAUGGUAGUGGUAUAAUAAAUGAGUUUAUAAAGAUUUUUUUGUUUUUUUUGAAAUCUUUUUUUAAUUUUUAAUUUUUUAAAAUUUUUUUUUUAAAUUUUUUUUUGCGCUGAAAAGAUUAAGAUAGAGAGUUAGGUUAACACAAGUUGGGUUGAUGUAACUUACGUUUGUAAGUUGUGUAAAUAACCUAACUCUGCAGAGUUGAGUUAACAAAAGUUGUGUUGAUGUUCAAGUGAUGUGUAAUAAAGUGAGGUUAAGUGAGUGUAAGUUGGGAAAUGAAAUGUAGUCAAUUGGGUCAAUGUAGUGAAUUUCAAUUAGGUCAAUUAGGUCAAUUCAAAUUAUAAGGUCAAUUGAGUGUUAGGUUAGGUUAGGUUUAGUUUAGGCCUUUGGAGCCCCCCAGGCCUUUGGGGCCUGGGUCUCGGACUUAGGUCUGGGACCUAGGCUCCAAGGGGAGGAGUUGCUGGACUUUUACUGG
RNAcentral lists this unclassified non-coding RNA (653 nucleotides) under Melitaea cinxia (Glanville fritillary). RNAcentral's name for it is "misc RNA ENSMCXG00005002022.1". The record is from RNAcentral. Lineage: Eukaryota; Metazoa; Arthropoda; Insecta; Lepidoptera; Nymphalidae.